GAGAAGCUUGCUUCUCUGAUGUUAGCGGCGGACGGGUGAGUAACACGUGGAUAACCUACCUAUAAGACUGGGAUAACUUCGGGAAACCGGAGCUAAUACCGGAUAAUAUUUUGAACCGCAUGGUUCAAAAGUGAAAGACGGUCUUGCUGUCACUUAUAGAUGGAUCCGCGCUGCAUUAGCUAGUUGGUAAGGUAACGGCUUACCAAGGCAACGAUGCAUAGCCGACCUGAGAGGGUGAUCGGCCACACUGGAACUGAGACACGGUCCAGACUCCUACGGGAGGCAGCAGUAGGGAAUCUUCCGCAAUGGGCGAAAGCCUGACGGAGCAACGCCGCGUGAGUGAUGAAGGUCUUCGGAUCGUAAAACUCUGUUAUUAGGGAAGAACAUAUGUGUAAGUAACUGUGCACAUCUUGACGGUACCUAAUCAGAAAGCCACGGCUAACUACGUGCCAGCAGCCGCGGUAAUACGUAGGUGGCAAGCGUUAUCCGGAAUUAUUGGGCGUAAAGCGCGCGUAGGCGGUUUUUUAAGUCUGAUGUGAAAGCCCACGGCUCAACCGUGGAGGGUCAUUGGAAACUGGAAAACUUGAGUGCAGAAGAGGAAAGUGGAAUUCCAUGUGUAGCGGUGAAAUGCGCAGAGAUAUGGAGGAACACCAGUGGCGAAGGCGACUUUCUGGUCUGUAACUGACGCUGAUGUGCGAAAGCGUGGGGAUCAAACAGGAUUAGAUACCCUGGUAGUCCACGCCGUAAACGAUGAGUGCUAAGUGUUAGGGGGUUUCCGCCCCUUAGUGCUGCAGCUAACGCAUUAAGCACUCCGCCUGGGGAGUACGACCGCAAGGUUGAAACUCAAAGGAAUUGACGGGGACCCGCACAAGCGGUGGAGCAUGUGGUUUAAUUCGAAGCAACGCGAAGAACCUUACCAAAUCUUGACAUCCUUUGACAACUCUAGAGAUAGAGCCUUCCCCUUCGGGGGACAAAGUGACAGGUGGUGCAUGGUUGUCGUCAGCUCGUGUCGUGAGAUGUUGGGUUAAGUCCCGCAACGAGCGCAACCCUUAAGCUUAGUUGCCAUCAUUAAGUUGGGCACUCUAAGUUGACUGCCGGUGACAAACCGGAGGAAGGUGGGGAUGACGUCAAAUCAUCAUGCCCCUUAUGAUUUGGGCUACACACGUGCUACAAUGGACAAUACAAAGGGCAGCGAAACCGCGAGGUCAAGCAAAUCCCAUAAAGUUGUUCUCAGUUCGGAUUGUAGUCUGCAACUCGACUACAUGAAGCUGGAAUCGCUAGUAAUCGUAGAUCAGCAUGCUACGGUGAAUACGUUCCCGGGUCUUGUACACACCGCCCGUCACACCACGAGAGUUUGUAACACCCGAAGCCGGUGGAGUAAC
This 1382-nucleotide ribosomal RNA is filed under the name Staphylococcus aureus. Its description in RNAcentral is "bacterial SSU rRNA". It matches the Rfam family "Bacterial small subunit ribosomal RNA", at positions 73 to 1439 of the family's 1533-position model. Lineage: Bacteria; Bacillati; Bacillota; Bacilli; Caryophanales; Staphylococcaceae. The record is from RNAcentral.